UUAAGCAUAUCACUAAGCGGAGGAAAAGAAACUAACAAGGAUUCUCCUAGUAACGGCGAGUGAAGCGAGAAAAGCCCAGCACCGAAUCCCACAUGCCUUGCGCUGUUGGGAAAUGUGGUGUUUAGGACGUUUACUGGCGUUGUCUUCUGGUACCCAAGUCCUCCUGAUCGGGGCCUUUCCCAGAGUGGGUGUCAGGCCUUUACCGGCACUAGAGGCAGCGGCUAUGGACGUCCUUGGAGUCGGGUUGUUUGGGAAUGCAGCCCAAAGUGGGUGGUAAACUCCAUCUAAGGCUAAAUACCGGCACGAGUCCGAUAGCGGACAAGUACCGUGAGGG
RNAcentral lists this ribosomal RNA (334 nucleotides) under Anadara trapezia (ark clam). RNAcentral's name for it is "eukaryotic LSU rRNA". It matches the Rfam family "Eukaryotic large subunit ribosomal RNA", at positions 34 to 359 of the family's 3401-position model. The record is from RNAcentral. Lineage: Eukaryota; Metazoa; Mollusca; Bivalvia; Arcoida; Arcidae.